AUUUAAGUAGUCUAAAUAAAGAUAUCAUGUUGAAGCUAUGAAGAUGACCAAGGUCCUUGAAUA
This 63-nucleotide transfer RNA is filed under the name Rhynchocinetes durbanensis. RNAcentral's name for it is "tRNA-Phe". Lineage: Eukaryota; Metazoa; Arthropoda; Malacostraca; Decapoda; Rhynchocinetidae. The record is from RNAcentral.